This 406-nucleotide ribosomal RNA is filed under the name uncultured bacterium. Its description in RNAcentral is "partial 16S ribosomal RNA". It matches the Rfam family "Bacterial small subunit ribosomal RNA", at positions 30 to 526 of the family's 1533-position model. The record is from RNAcentral.
AUUGAACGCUGGCGGCAGGCCUAACACAUGCAAGUCGAGCGAGCGGCGGACGGGUGAGUAAUGUCUGGGAAACUGCCUGCUGGAGGGGGAUAACUACUGGAAACGGUAUCUAAUACCGCAUACCAUCAGAUGUGCCCAGAUGGGAUUAGCUAGUAGGUGGGGUAACGGCCCACCUAGGCGACGAUCCCUAGCUGGUCUGAGAGGAUGACCAGCAACACGGGAACUGAGACACGGUCCAGACUCCUACGGGAGGCAGCAGUGGGGAAUAUUGCACAAUGGGCGCAAGCCUGAUGCAGCCAUGCCGCGGGUGUGAAGAAGGCCUUCGGGUUGUAAAGCACUUUCAGCGGGGAGGCGUUACCCGCAGAAGAAGCACCGGCUAACUCCGUGCCAGCAGCCGCGGUAAUUC